UUUUUUGUGCCGUGGCAGUAUCGUAGCCAAUGAGGUUUAUCUGAGGCACGAUUAUUGCUGUUUUUUAAUCUCUAUUCCUUGCUGUGGAGGUAAAGGGAAGUGGAAAACAUUUGAGUCUGUAUCUUUAGACACAUAACUGAAAUUUGUGUCUGUUUGGUUUCUAA
RNAcentral lists this small nuclear RNA (164 nucleotides) under Zalophus californianus (California sea lion). RNAcentral's name for it is "U4 spliceosomal RNA (ENSZCAG00015012545.1)". The stretch from base 1 to 129 matches the Rfam family "U4 spliceosomal RNA". From Rfam's summary of the family: U4 small nuclear RNA (U4 snRNA) is a component of the major U2-dependent spliceosome. The structure of U4 snRNA from yeast and human has been reported. Lineage: Eukaryota; Metazoa; Chordata; Mammalia; Carnivora; Otariidae. The record is from RNAcentral.